This 1394-nucleotide ribosomal RNA is filed under the name uncultured bacterium. RNAcentral describes it as "bacterial SSU rRNA". It matches the Rfam family "Bacterial small subunit ribosomal RNA". The record is from RNAcentral.
AGAGUUUGAUCCUGGCUCAGGAUGAACGCUAGCUACAGGCUUAACACAUGCAAGUCGAGGGGCAGCAUGGUCUUAGCUUGCUAAGGCCGAUGGCGACCGGCGCACGGGUGAGUAACACGUAUCCAACCUGCCGUCUACUCUUGGACAGCCUUCUGAAAGGAAGAUUAAUACAAGAUGGCAUCAUGAGUCCGCAUGUUCACAUGAUUAAAGGUAUUCCGGUAGACGAUGGGGAUGCGUUCCAUUAGAUAGUAGGCGGGGUAACGGCCCACCUAGUCUUCGAUGGAUAGGGGUUCUGAGAGGAAGGUCCCCCACAUUGGAACUGAGACACGGUCCAAACUCCUACGGGAGGCAGCAGUGAGGAAUAUUGGUCAAUGGGCGAGAGCCUGAACCAGCCAAGUAGCGUGAAGGAUGACUGCCCUAUGGGUUGUAAACUUCUUUUAUAAAGGAAUAAAGUCGGGUAUGCAUACCCGUUUGCAUGUACUUUAUGAAUAAGGAUCGGCUAACUCCGUGCCAGCAGCCGCGGUAAUACGGAGGAUCCGAGCGUUAUCCGGAUUUAUUGGGUUUAAAGGGAGCGUAGAUGGAUGUUUAAGUCAGUUGUGAAAGUUUGCGGCUCAACCGUAAAAUUGCAGUUGAUACUGGAUAUCUUGAGUGCAGUUGAGGCAGGCGGAAUUCGUGGUGUAGCGGUGAAAUGCUUAGAUAUCACGAAGAACUCCGAUUGCGAAGGCAGCCUGCUAAGCUGCAACUGACAUUGAGGCUCGAAAGUGUGGGUAUCAAACAGGAUUAGAUACCCUGGUAGUCCACACGGUAAACGAUGAAUACUCGCUGUUUGCGAUAUACUGCAAGCGGCCAAGCGAAAGCGUUAAGUAUUCCACCUGGGGAGUACGCCGGCAACGGUGAAACUCAAAGGAAUUGACGGGGGCCCGCACAAGCGGAGGAACAUGUGGUUUAAUUCGAUGAUACGCGAGGAACCUUACCCGGGCUUAAAUUGCAGAUGAAUUACGGUGAAAGCCGUAAGCCGCAAGGCAUCUGUGAAGGUGCUGCAUGGUUGUCGUCAGCUCGUGCCGUGAGGUGUCGGCUUAAGUGCCAUAACGAGCGCAACCCUUAUCUUUAGUUACUAACAGGUCAUGCUGAGGACUCUAGAGAGACUGCCGUCGUAAGAUGUGAGGAAGGUGGGGAUGACGUCAAAUCAGCACGGCCCUUACGUCCGGGGCUACACACGUGUUACAAUGGGGGGUACAGAAGGCAGCUACCUGGUGACAGGAUGCUAAUCCCAAAAGCCUCUCUCAGUUCGGAUCGAAGUCUGCAACCCGACUUCGUGAAGCUGGAUUCGCUAGUAAUCGCGCAUCAGCCAUGGCGCGGUGAAUACGUUCCCGGGCCUUGCACACACCGCCCGU